UCGAGGAUCUUCCGCAAUGGGCGCAAGCCUGACGGAGCGACGCCGCGUGUGGGAUGAAGGCCUUCGGGUUGUAAACCACUGUCACUCGUUAAGAAAGGGUCCGGCGUCAACAGCGUCGGGCACUGACGAAGGCGAGAGAGGAAGCCACGGCUAACUUCGUGCCAGCAGCCGCGGUAAGACGAAGGUGGCGAGCGUUGUUCGGAAUCACUGGGCAUAAAGCGCACGUAGGCGGUGCCGUAAGUCGGGUGUGAAAUCCCUCGGCCUAACCGGGGAACUGCGCCCGAUACUGCGGUGCUUGAGGACCAGAGGGGUGCAUGGAAUUUCCGGUGGAGCGGUGAAAUGCGUUGAUAUCGGAAGGAACUCCGGCGGCGAAGGCGAUGCACUGGCUGGUUUCUGACGCUGAGGUGCGAAAGCCAGGGGAGCAAACGGG
Molecule: ribosomal RNA, 430 nt
Filed under: Bacillota bacterium
Lineage: Bacteria; Bacillati; Bacillota
Description: Firmicutes bacterium partial 16S ribosomal RNA
Rfam family: Bacterial small subunit ribosomal RNA
Source: RNAcentral